UCAGAUAUGGUGUAGUGGCAAACACAUCCGUUACUCGUUCCGAAGUGCAACAAAAAAUCAAUGGAAAGCCCGGAGUUCGAUUCUUCGUAUCUGAU
Mycena galericulata is the source of this 95-nucleotide non-coding RNA. Lineage: Eukaryota; Fungi; Basidiomycota; Agaricomycetes; Agaricales; Mycenaceae. The record is from the annotation of a GenBank genome assembly.